AGAGUUUGAUCAUGGCUCAGGACGAACGCUGGCGGCGUGCUUAACACAUGCAAGUCGAACGGUGAAGCGCCCUCCUUUUUGGUGGGUGUGGAUGAGUGGCGAACGGGUGAGUAACACGUGAGUAACCUGCCCCCUUCUUCUGGAUAACCGCAUGAAAGUGUGGCUAAUACGGGAUAUUCUGUGCCUGCUGCAUGGUGGGUGUGGGAAAGAUUGCGCUUUUUUGGUGUUUUUGGUGGGGGAUGGGCUCGCGGCCUAUCAGCUUGUUGGUGGGGUGAUGGCCUACCAAGGCGGUGACGGGUAGCCGGCCUGAGAGGGUGGACGGUCACACUGGGACUGAGACACGGCCCAGACUCCUACGGGAGGCAGCAGUGGGGAAUAUUGCACAAUGGGCGCAAGCCUGAUGCAGCGACGCCGCGUGAGGGAUGGAGGCCUUCGGGUUGUGAACCUCUUUCGCCAGUGAAGCAGGCCUGCUCCUUUUUUGUGGGUGGGUUGACGGUAGCUGGAUAAGAAGCGCCGGCUAACUACGUGCCAGCAGCCGCGGUAAUACGUAGGGCGCGAGCGUUGUCCGGAAUUAUUGGGCGUAAAGAGCUCGUAGGCGGCUGGUCGCGUCUGUCGUGAAAUCCUCUGGCUUAACUGGGGGCUUGCGGUGGGUACGGGCCGGCUUGAGUGCGGUAGGGGAGACUGGAACUCCUGGUGUAGCGGUGGAAUGCGCAGAUAUCAGGAAGAACACCGGUGGCGAAGGCGGGUCUCUGGGCCGUUACUGACGCUGAGGAGCGAAAGCGUGGGGAGCGAACAGGAUUAGAUACCCUGGUAGUCCACGCCGUAAACGUUGGGCACUAGGUGUGGGGGGCCUUUUCCGGGUUUUCCGCGCCGUAGCUAACGCAUUAAGUGCCCCGCCUGGGGAGUACGGCCGCAAGGCUAAAACUCAAAGGAAUUGACGGGGGCCCGCACAAGCGGCGGAGCAUGCGGAUUAAUUCGAUGCAACGCGAAGAACCUUACCAAGGCUUGACAUGUGCCGGUCGGCUCCGGAGACGGGGUUUCCUCCUUGUGGGGCCGGUUCACAGGUGGUGCAUGGUUGUCGUCAGCUCGUGUCGUGAGAUGUUGGGUUAAGUCCCGCAACGAGCGCAACCCUUGUCUCGUGUUGCCAGCACGUUGUGGUGGGGACUCGCGGGAGACUGCCGGGGUCAACUCGGAGGAAGGUGGGGAUGACGUCAAAUCAUCAUGCCCCUUAUGUCUUGGGCUUCACGCAUGCUACAAUGGCCGGUACAGAGGGCUGCGAUACCGUGAGGUGGAGCGAAUCCCUUAAAGCCGGUCUCAGUUCGGAUCGGUGUCUGCAACUCGACACCGUGAAGUUGGAGUCGCUAGUAAUCGCAGAUCAGCAACGCUGCGGUGAAUACGUUCUCGGGCCUUGUACACACCGCCCGUCA
This 1427-nucleotide ribosomal RNA is filed under the name uncultured bacterium. Its description in RNAcentral is "16S ribosomal RNA". It matches the Rfam family "Bacterial small subunit ribosomal RNA". The record is from RNAcentral.